Molecule: transfer RNA, 86 nt
Filed under: Fusarium acuminatum
Lineage: Eukaryota; Fungi; Ascomycota; Sordariomycetes; Hypocreales; Nectriaceae
Also listed under: 1 other name
Description: tRNA-Glu
Source: RNAcentral
UCCGGUGUGGUGUACCGGUUAUCAUUUCGCGUUUUCAUUGAUUCACAAGUGCCGCGAAGAACGGGGUUCGACUCCCCGCACCGGAG